This 486-nucleotide ribosomal RNA is filed under the name uncultured bacterium. RNAcentral's name for it is "partial 16S ribosomal RNA". It matches the Rfam family "Bacterial small subunit ribosomal RNA", at positions 28 to 507 of the family's 1533-position model. The record is from RNAcentral.
GAUGAACGCUGGCGGCGUGCCUAAUACAUGCAAGUCGAACGCUGGAAAUCUAGCUUGCUAGAUUGAAGGAGUGGCGAACGGGUGAGUAAUACAUAAGCAACCUACCCACGAAGACUGGGAUAAUCUCUGGAAACGGGGACUAAUACCGGAUAGGUAAUCGGAAGGCCUCUUCUGAUUAUUAAAGGUUAAAAACACUGGUGGAUGGGCUUAUGGCGCAUUAGUUAGUUGGUGAGGUAACGGCCCACCAAGACGAUGAUGCGUAGCCGGCCUGAGAGGGUGAACGGCUACAUUGGGACUGAGACACGGCCCAGACUCCUACGGGAGGCAGCAGUAGGGAAUUUUCGGCAAUGGGGGAAACCCUGACCGAGCAACGCCGCGUGAGUGAUGACGGCCUUCGGGUUGUAAAGCUCUGUUGUAAGGGAAGAACGGUAGAUAGAGAAUAUCUAAAUGACGGUACCUUACCAGAAAGCCACGGCUAACUACGUG